GACGAACGCUGGCGGCGUGCUUAACACAUGCAAGUCGAGCGGUAAGGCCCUUUCGGGGGUACACGAGCGGCGAACGGGCGAGUAACACGUGGGUGACCUGCCCUCAGCUCUGGGAUAAGCCUGGGAAACCGGGUCUAAUACUGGAUAUGACUCCAUGACGCAUGUUGUGGGGUGGAAAGCCUUGUGCGGCUGAGGAUGGGCCCGCGGCCUAUCAGCUUGUUGGUGGGGUGAGGCCUACCAAGGCGACGACGGGUAGCCGGCCUGAGAGGGCGACCGGCCACACUGGGACUGAGACACGGCCCAGACUCCGUACGGGGGGCGAGCAGUGGGGAAGUCUUGCGCAAUGGGCGAAAGCCUGACGCAGCGACGCCGCGUGAGGGAUG
This 383-nucleotide ribosomal RNA is filed under the name uncultured bacterium. Its description in RNAcentral is "bacterial SSU rRNA". It matches the Rfam family "Bacterial small subunit ribosomal RNA", at positions 28 to 410 of the family's 1533-position model. The record is from RNAcentral.